This is a long non-coding RNA of Passer domesticus (house sparrow), 1096 nucleotides long. RefSeq lists it as uncharacterized. NCBI's taxonomy places the organism in Eukaryota, Metazoa, Chordata, Aves, Passeriformes, Passeridae. The transcript has 3 exons. The record is from RefSeq and is a predicted model, not a curated record.
AGCCCUGCCUGAAAGAUUGAGUACAACACCUAGUAGAGUGUGGAGCCACAUGCUCUGAAAGAUAGCUCCUACCCUCAUAGGCCUUGCAGCCCAAACAAAGUGGUUGAAAAGGACAGCAGGGUUGCAGCCUGACAGCUGAUUGAGGACAACUUGGCUUAAGUUUAUCCUACAGGUCUAGACCUGCCUGCCAUAAUCCAGAGCUGGUUACUGAACCCGCCUUGGCAGCUGGGCCAUCUCUACAAACAAAAGCUGUUUUGUUCAAACUCAGCUAGAACAGGCAGGGUUGCAGAUUGCAGCUUUCUUCAGUGGUCAUCCUGUUGAUUUGGAUCAAAAUUAAAUAAAAAAUAAAUUGUUAGAGAGUGAAGAGGUGUCAGAAAUCAGAUCUGUGUAUGUACCAUGGGCAGCUUAGUGUUAAAGCCUCAAGACUGAAGUCUAAUCCCAAAACAAAAUGUCAGAAGUAUUCUUCCUGCCAAAACUCUGAAUAGCUUCUUUUAUCACUGGGUCCUGUGAUUGUGUUGGCUCACAGGUGGAGUUGCACAAUGUACUGAGCAGCAGUAAAGAAGGACAACCUGAGCACAAGAAGAGCUUCUCAACUCCUGAAGAGGAAUAAAUACUUCAGUGGGGUUCCUUUGAGCCUGAGUUCUGACUGAAUUAUCUUUGUAUUUAUUUUAACAGUAAAACAAGUUGAAGGUUGAAAGAAAACCAACCUGCUUUCCCUGUUUUAAAGAGUAGAAAGAACCACAGAACAUGAAGUGAAGUUAAAAGGAACUCCUUGAAUGUUGUCAAGGAUUCCAGAAGUACUCUUUAAUUGCUGCUAAAGCCAAUGUGGCUGGAAUUUCUGUGGAAAACAACAGUGCAGUAGUCAGUUAGUACACAAUUACCUCCACUUUGAAAUAGAUUCCCCUUCCCCAAGCUUAUUCACCCUGUUCUCUAUGUUAAAAAAAUAUAAAUCCACGUUUAAUCUUGCACUUAACAUUGAAACAUUCAAAGAUGAUUUCUCAUAGCAGUGUGAGGAAUUGCAGAGUGGUAACUGUUUGGUGUUGCUCUGAGAACUGAUUGCUCGUUCUACCACCACCAUUGUUUGCUGUCGUUUUGA